This 419-nucleotide ribosomal RNA is filed under the name uncultured fungus. Its description in RNAcentral is "eukaryotic LSU rRNA". It matches the Rfam family "Eukaryotic large subunit ribosomal RNA", at positions 1 to 422 of the family's 3401-position model. Lineage: Eukaryota; Fungi. The record is from RNAcentral.
GACCUCGGAUCAGGUAGGGAUACCCGCUGAACUUAAGCAUAUCAAUAAGCGGAGGAAAAGAAACCAACCGGGAUUACCUCAGUAACGGCGAGUGAAGCGGUAACAGCUCAAAUUUGAAAUCUGGCCUCGGCCCGAGUUGUAAUUUGUAGAAGAUGCUUCGGGUGUGGCUCCGGUCUAAGUUCCUUGGAACAGGACGUCAUAGAGGGUGAGAAUCCCGUAUGUGACUGGGUGCCUCCGCCUGUGUGAAGCUCUUUCGACGAGUCGAGUUGUUUGGGAAUGCAGCUCAAAAUGGGUGGUAUAUUUCAUCUAAAGCUAAAUAUUGGCCAGAGACCGAUAGCGCACAAGUAGAGUGAUCGAAAGAUGAAAAGCACUUUGGAAAGAGAGUUAAACAGUACGUGAAAUUGUUGAAAGGGAAGCGU